GGGUGUAUCUGGGAUGACCAGGAAAAGGAGUACAGGAGUCUGGUGAGGGAUAUAGCUAAGCAGGUCACAUUCUGUGGCUCAGUCUUUCACCAAAGAAGCGAUUCUCUUACCAGACUAUCUAACUGCACAUGUGCCAAGGCGUAACAAAAAAACUUGGCUUUUUGAAAAUGGACAUAUAAAAUCUGCACUGGUACUCAGACAAAGUAAUGCAGGCAGUAAGGACUGUCUUCCAGCCAGUUGUUGAAGGAUGCAGGUAAGCUUUAGAUCCUUUUUUAUAAAAAGAUUUUUUUUUGUUACUUGGAUUAUUAUACUAUUAAAGGUCAACUUUGGGUAUUUCCAAAAAGGAUCUGGGAGCACUGAUCAGAUGACUGGAUUGAUAUCUUUUAGAGUUAACAAAAAUUAAGCCUUUUAAUGUACUGUAUUGUAUUGCAGUCUGUUAGCCUUAACAAAAAUUUCAUAUACACUGUUUUCUUCCUCCCCUAGGCUACAGAUUUUGCUGGCAUGCCACACCAAACUAGUUGAGCCAUCACUCACUUCCAAACAGACUUUGAAUGAAGACCUUGUGACUUCAUCAGAAGUCAAUUUAUGUCAGACCUGACAAGGCUUAUUCUGAUGGAGAGAGUAGCCAUACAAGCAGGCAGGAUUUCACAGAAACGUUGAAUUCUGACAAAUGUGGUGAAAUUUCUAAAGACGUUACCUCAGCCAUUCCCAUUGUUAACACACAGUCCAUGUCUGUUGAUGAUGAGGUCAUCUGUUGCGUUGCUACUGCCACUGUCAGUGACAACACACCUGGCGUAUCAGUGGGUUCUUCUGCCAGUGUUACUGGUGACACACGUGUCUUCUCUAGUAACACCUCCAGUGUGUCCAAUGGACCUACCCAGCCAAGUUUAUCCAGCACAUCCUACAGUACAUAUCUUGGCCUGUUUGAGGAAGAAUACCUGUCAAAUGACCCCGACCUCCAAGAAGCCAUUUCAAGGUCUUUAGACGUGCAAGUAAAAGAAAAGGAGUCACCUACUAUCUAGUUUUGGAUCAGUUUGAAUAAGCAAACUACAAACUGCAACCUACGAUUUCUGUUGUCGUUUGAAGAUUACCAAGGCUAUCAGAUUAAUUAUAUUUUACUUGAUAUAUGUUUUGGUUUAUUUUUAGUGGCUUUAGUGAAAUGUUAGAUACAAAGGUUUGAAUCUGUAAAAAGAAUAAAGAAAAGAAUAUCUGGUCAUUAAACUUCUGUGCUAAUACUCUUAUUUUAUAACUCUGACCACCUGCAGCCUCUAUGAUAGUCAUUACUAUGCUGUCAUAGUUUUGAUUUCGGGCUGCUGUAGCAUUGUCCUCUCUUAUUUGCAACCCUGUCCUUAUUUUAACUCCAUCUGGUUUUUGGCUUUGACUGAUUGGAGAUAAUGAAUUGUAUUAUUUUUGCACCACACGUUGGCUAGCUUGACAUCAUAAGUGAUGUGAUAACACAACUGCAAGCAGUGUCAUCAUGCUGGUAGAAACUUGCCUUUUUUUAAAAUUAUGUAGCAGUUAUUUAUAUACUUAGCAAACACAUGUCCACACAACAAAGGUAUUUUCCCUAUUUACAUUUCCAUGCUGUGAAUAAAUAGUAUAGAGUAUUUUGUUGUUUAUGUAUAUUUGUUGUUUAUGUAUAAUUAAGCAUUUUCUGCUCUGGGA
Long non-coding RNA from Astatotilapia calliptera (eastern happy), 1665 nucleotides. The record is from Ensembl. NCBI's taxonomy places the organism in Eukaryota, Metazoa, Chordata, Actinopteri, Cichliformes, Cichlidae.